UCCCUCUCAGGGUCACACCUGGAGAGUUUCCAGUACUCUACCAGUCUCGACUAUGGGAGGGAGAGUCAAGCCGAGACAUAUCCAUUCCAUUCCUAGCUUGGGGAGUGGCUAGCGAGUGGAGGACAAUCUGCUACAAGU
Molecule: small nucleolar RNA, 138 nt
Filed under: Ornithorhynchus anatinus (platypus)
Lineage: Eukaryota; Metazoa; Chordata; Mammalia; Monotremata; Ornithorhynchidae
Source: RNAcentral